RNAcentral lists this long non-coding RNA (494 nucleotides) under Gossypium raimondii (Peruvian cotton). RNAcentral's name for it is "long non-coding RNA (GRAI_LNC008270)". Lineage: Eukaryota; Viridiplantae; Streptophyta; Magnoliopsida; Malvales; Malvaceae. The record is from RNAcentral.
ACCAUCAUGAUCAAACCAUUUUCGCAUGGCUAUACACAUACAAUUUUCAAACCAAAUAUAUCAAAACUAGCCUAUACAUGCCACAUAACCAAAACUCAAAGCAUUUAUUUACCAAAGUGAAAACUAGAUAGUGUGAUGUGGUCUCCUAUGACUUCCAAUCCGAGCAAGUCUCCGAAACUCUAUAAACAUAGGAAAAAUACAAAAAGUAAGCUUUGAAAGCUUAGUAAGCCAUAAGCAAAUAAUUCAUCACAGUAACAUAUAUAAUUCAAUUCUAAUAGACUGAAUUUAGUUAAUCUCAUACACCUAUACAACCACUUUUCUCAUAUAAUCCAUAUUGUCACAUUACACAACUUCACUUACCUUAUUUAUCAAUGAACAUAUAAACCAUGCUUUAAAAUUCAACCAUUUCAAUCUCAUUUAUCAGUUCAAAAUUCAAAUUAACUACCAUACAUCAAAGUCAUAUCACACAUGCUUUAUUAUUCAACUAUUCGAAC